This 1492-nucleotide ribosomal RNA is filed under the name uncultured Bordetella sp. RNAcentral's name for it is "partial 16S-23S ribosomal RNA intergenic spacer". It matches the Rfam family "Bacterial small subunit ribosomal RNA". Lineage: Bacteria; Pseudomonadati; Pseudomonadota; Betaproteobacteria; Burkholderiales; Alcaligenaceae. The record is from RNAcentral.
GGUUUUAGUUCUGGCUCAGAUUGAACGCUGGCGGGAUGCUUUACACAUGCAAGUCAGACAGCAACACGGACUUCGGUCUGGUGGCGAGAAGUGGCGAACAGAGUGGUAAUGUAUCAGGGCGUGCCCUAGUAGCGGGGAUAACUACGCGAAAGCGCGUAGCUAAUACAUACGCUUCGCUAAAGGGGAAAAGCAGAGGCCCAGCAGGCCUCGCACUAUUAGAGCAGCCGAUAUCGGAUUAGCUAGUUGGUGGGGUAACGGCUCACCAGGCGACGAUCCGUAGCUGGUUUGAGAGACGACCAACCACACUACCGGACUGAGACACGGCCCAGACUCCUACGAGGGAGGCAGCAGUGGGAAUUUGGACAAUGGGGGAAACCUGAUCCAGCCAUCCCGCGUGUGCGAUGAAGGCCUUCGGGUUGUAAAGCACUUUUAGCGGAAAGAAACGGCACGGGAUAAUACCCCGUGCAACUGACUAGUACAGAAUAAGCACCGGCUAACCGUGCCGGCAACCGCGGUAAUACGUAGAUUGCAAAGCGUUAAUCAAGGAAUUACUAUGAUAAAGCGUGCGCAGGCGGUUCGGAAGAAGAUGUACGAUCCCAGAGCUUAACUUUGGAACUGCAUUUUUAACUACCGAGCUAAGAGUGUGUCAGAGGGAGGUGGGAAUUCCGCGAUGUGGCAGUGAAAUGCGUGUUCUGCGGAGGAACACCGAUGGCGAAGGCAGCCUCCUGGGGAUAACGCUGACGCUUCGCUUUUAGCGAAAGCGUGGGGGGCAAACGGGAUUAGAUACCCUGGUAGUCCACGCCCUAAACGAUGUCAACUAGCUGUUGGGGCCUUCGAACGCAGCGGUAGCGCAACUAACGCGUGAAGUUGACCGCCUGGGGAGUACGGUCGCAAGAUUAAAACUCAAAGGAAUUGACGGGGACCCGCACAAGCGGUGGAUGAUGUGGAUUAAUUCGAUGCAACGCGAAAAACCUUACCUACCCUUGACCUUCUGGAAUCCCGAAGAGAUUUGGGGAGUGCUCGCAAGAGAACCGGAACACAGGUGCUGCAUGGCUGUGUCAGCUCGUGUCGUGAGAUGUUGGGUUAAGUCCGCAACGAGCGCAACCCUUGUCAUUAGUUGCUACGAGGGCACUCUAAUGAGACUGCCGGUGACAAACCGGAGGAAGGUGAGACGAAACGUCGAAGUCCUCAUGGCCUAUGGGUGGGCCACACGUCAUACAAUGGUCGGGACAGAGGGUCGCCAGCCCGCGAGGGGAGCCAAUCCAGAAACCCGAUCGUAGUCCGGAUCACCGAUGCCACAACUCGACUGCGUGAAGUCAGAAUCUUUAGUAAUCUUUAUACUGGAUCAGCAUGUCGCGGUGAACGUUCCCACGGGUCUUGUACACACCGCCCGUCACACCAUGGGAGUGGGUUUGCAAGAAGUAGUUAGCCUAACCGUAAGGAGGGCGAUUACCACGGUAGGAUUCAUGACUGGGGUGAAGUCGUAACCGAU